Molecule: ribosomal RNA, 870 nt
Filed under: Enterococcus casseliflavus
Lineage: Bacteria; Bacillati; Bacillota; Bacilli; Lactobacillales; Enterococcaceae
Description: bacterial SSU rRNA
Rfam family: Bacterial small subunit ribosomal RNA
Source: RNAcentral
GAACGCUUUUUCUUUCACCGGGAGCUUGCUCCACCGAAAGAAAAAGAGUGGCGAACGGGUGAGUAACACGUGGGUAACCUGCCCAUCAGAAGGGGAUAACACUUGGAAACAGGUGCUAAUACCGUAUAACACUAUUUUCCGCAUGGAAGAAAGUUGAAAGGCGCUUUUGCGUCACUGAUGGAUGGACCCGCGGUGCAUUAGCUAGUUGGUGAGGUAACGGCUCACCAAGGCAACGAUGCAUAGCCGACCUGAGAGGGUGAUCGGCCACACUGGGACUGAGACACGGCCCAGACUCCUACGGGAGGCAGCAGUAGGGAAUCUUCGGCAAUGGACGAAAGUCUGACCGAGCAACGCCGCGUGAGUGAAGAAGGUUUUCGGAUCGUAAAACUCUGUUGUUAGAGAAGAACAAGGAUGAGAGUAAAAUGUUCAUCCCUUGACGGUAUCUAACCAGAAAGCCACGGCUAACUACGUGCCAGCAGCCGCGGUAAUACGUAGGUGGCAAGCGUUGUCCGGAUUUAUUGGGCGUAAAGCGAGCGCAGGCGGUUUCUUAAGUCUGAUGUGAAAGCCCCCGGCUCAACCGGGGAGGGUCAUUGGAAACUGGGAGACUUGAGUGCAGAAGAGGAGAGUGGAAUUCCAUGUGUAGCGGUGAAAUGCGUAGAUAUAUGGAGGAACACCAGUGGCGAAGGCGGCUCUCUGGUCUGUAACUGACGCUGAGGCUCGAAAGCGUGGGGAGCGAACAGGAUUAGAUACCCUGGUAGUCCACGCCGUAAACGAUGAGUGCUAAGUGUUGGAGGGUUUCCGCCCUUCAGUGCUGCAGCAAACGCAUUAAGCACUCCGCCUGGGGAGUACGACCGCAAGGUUGAAACUCAG